UCUGGUUGAUCCUGCCAGAGGUCACUGCUAUCAGUAUUCGACUAAGCCAUGCGAGUCAAAUGUUCUUCGUGAACAUGGCGUACUGCUCAGUAACACGUGGAUAAUCUGCCCUAAGGUCAGGCAUAACUCCGGGAAACUGGUGAUAAUACCUGAUAUAUCGUAGACACUGGAAUGUUCUGUGAUCAAAAGCUCCGGUGCCUUAGGAUGAAUCUGCGGCCUAUCAGGUUGUAGUGGGUGUAAUGUACCUACUAGCCGACGACGGGUACGGGUUGUGAGAGCAAGAGCCCGGAGAUGGAUUCUGAGACAUGAAUCCAGGCCCUACGGGGCGCAGCAGGCGCGAAAUCUUUACAAUGCGGGGAACCGCGAUAAGGGGAUACUGAGUGCCAGCAUAUUAUGUUGGCUGUCCACCUGUAUAAAUAGCAGGUGUUAGCAAGGGCCGGGCAAGACCGGUGCCAGCCGCCGCGGUAACACCGGCGGCCCGAGUGGUGGCCACUAUUAUUGGGUCUAAAGGGUCCGUAGCCGGUUCGAUCAGUCUUCCGGGAAAUCUGACAGCUCAACUGUUAGGCUUCCGGGGGAUACUGUCGGACUUGGGACCGGGAGAGGUAAGAGGUACUACAGGGGUAGGAGUGAAAUCUUGUAAUCCUUGUGGGACCACCAGUGGCGAAGGCGUCUUACCAGAACGGGUCCGACGGUGAGGGACGAAAGCUGGGGGCACGAACCGGAUUAGAUACCCGGGUAGUCCCAGCUGUAAACGAUGCUCGCUAGGUGCCUGGGACGGUGCGACCGUUUCAGUGCCGCAGGAAGCCGUGAAGCGAGUCACCUGGGAAGUACGCCGCAGGCUGAACUUAAAGGAAUUGGCGGGGGAGCACAA
Molecule: ribosomal RNA, 871 nt
Filed under: uncultured Methanolobus sp.
Lineage: Archaea; Methanobacteriati; Methanobacteriota; Methanomicrobia; Methanosarcinales; Methanosarcinaceae
Description: bacterial SSU rRNA
Rfam family: Archaeal small subunit ribosomal RNA
Source: RNAcentral